GAUGAACGCUGGCGGCGUGCUUAACACAUGCAAGUCGAACGGAAAGGCCCAAUCUUGCUUGGGUACUCGAGUUGCGAACGGGUGAGUAACCCGUGGGUGAUCUGUCCUGCACUUCGGGAUAAGCCUGGGAAACUGGGUCUCAUACCGGCUAGGACCACAUUUUGGUGGGUGUGGUGGAGAGGUUUUCGGUGUUGGGUGAGCUCGCGGCCUAUCAGCUUGUUGGUGGGGUGAUGGCCUACAAGGGCGUCGACGGGUACCCGGCCUGAGAGGGGGUACGGCCACCUGGCACCUGGGAAACGGGACACGGUCCUGACUGAGGCGGGAGUGGGGAAUGUGGCACAAUGGGCGAAAGCCUGAAGCAGGAACGACGCGUGGGGGGUGACGGAUUUAGGGUUGUAGGCUGCUUAGGCUAGGGACGAAGGAUUUUUGUGACGGUACCUGGAGAAGAAGCACCGGCUAACUACGUG
Molecule: ribosomal RNA, 467 nt
Filed under: uncultured bacterium
Lineage: Bacteria
Description: partial 16S ribosomal RNA
Rfam family: Bacterial small subunit ribosomal RNA
Source: RNAcentral